CGAGUUGGCACCAGGGCGGGUUGCAAGAAUGAACUUUUCCUUGUAAUUUAUGGUCCCCUAGGACCCAGCAGUGAGAGGCCAGC
RNAcentral lists this long non-coding RNA (83 nucleotides) under Canis lupus familiaris (dog). Its description in RNAcentral is "lncRNA (ENSCAFG00845005193.1)". Lineage: Eukaryota; Metazoa; Chordata; Mammalia; Carnivora; Canidae. The record is from RNAcentral.